UACGUAGGGUGCGAGCGUUAAUCGGAAUUACUGGGCGUAAAGCGUGCGCAGGCGGUUCUCCAAGUCCGUUGUGAAAGCCCCGGGCUCAACCUGGGAAUGGCAGUGGAAGCUAGGGGACUGGAAUCUGGCAGAGGGGGGUGGAAUGCCGCGUGUAGCAGUGAAAUGCGUAGAGAUGCGGCGGAACACCGAUGGCGAAGGCAGCCCCCUGGGCUGAGAUUGACGCUCAGGCACGAAAGCGUGGGGAGCAAACAGG
This 253-nucleotide ribosomal RNA is filed under the name uncultured bacterium. RNAcentral's name for it is "partial 16S ribosomal RNA". It matches the Rfam family "Bacterial small subunit ribosomal RNA", at positions 524 to 776 of the family's 1533-position model. The record is from RNAcentral.